This 229-nucleotide unclassified non-coding RNA is filed under the name uncultured fungus. RNAcentral's name for it is "sequence contains ITS1, 5.8S rRNA gene". Lineage: Eukaryota; Fungi. The record is from RNAcentral.
UCUCCGUAGGUGAACCUGCGGAGGGAUCAUUACUGAGUGAGGGCUCACGCCCGACCUCCAACCCUUUGUGAACACAUCUUGUUGCUUCGGGGGCAACCCUGCCGGCACUCGGUCGCCGGGCGCCCCCGAAGGUCUCCAAACACUGCAUCGUUGCGUCGGAGUUUAAAACAAAUUAAACAAAACUUUCAAAAACGGAUCUCUUGGUGCUGGCAUCGAUGAAGAAAGCAGC